GAUGAACGCUGGCGGCGUGCCUAAUACAUGCAAGUCGAGCGAACAGACGAGGAGCUUGCUCCUCUGACGUUAGCGGCGGACGGGUGAGUAACACGUGGAUAACCUACCUAUAAGACUGGGAUAACUUCGGGAAACCGGAGCUAAUACCGGAUAACAUGUUGAACCGCAUGGUUCAACAGUGAAAGACGGUCUUGCUGUCACUUAUAGAUGGAUCCGCGCCGCAUUAGCUAGUUGGUAAGGUAACGGCUUACCAAGGCAACGAUGCGUAGCCGACCUGAGAGGGUGAUCGGCCACACUGGAACUGAGACACGGUCCAGACUCCUACGGGAGGCAGCAGUAGGGAAUCUUCCGCAAUGGGCGAAAGCCUGACGGAGCAACGCCGCGUGAGUGAAGAAGGUCUUCGGAUCGUAAAACUCUGUUAUUAGGGAAGAACAAAUGUGUAAGUAACUAUGCACGUCUUGACGGUACUUAAUCAGAAAGCCACGGCUAACUACGUG
Molecule: ribosomal RNA, 497 nt
Filed under: uncultured bacterium
Lineage: Bacteria
Description: partial 16S ribosomal RNA
Rfam family: Bacterial small subunit ribosomal RNA
Source: RNAcentral